CCCUACGGGGCGCAGCAGGCAUCUUGUAGAAUCACUUGAUCACACCUCGGGGAAAUGCCAAAGACUAGUACUAAAGUACCAGGCCUAAUAGCCUAAUAGUGUGCAAGAGAAUGGUGUAAUCACCUGUCUCUGUAACGCAAUAUAGCGUAUUCAGCUCAGGGCGCAUUGUGUUAUAAUAUAGAUAAUAUUAGGUUAUUUUGGAAAAAUAACCAUUGCAAUCUCAUUUGUUUUCAGCUAUACUGGGCAAUGUGGAGCGCCUCGUUGGCUGGGAACUCAUGAGGUGCUCGAGGCAGCAGGGCUCUGCAUGGCUAAGCUGCAAUACCCCCCUGAUGCUAUGCCCGCUGAGGAGUGAGGAGGUGAGUCGCGUACCAAGUUAGCAUCGGUUAUUGUCAGCCAUCAGUAGUAGGAAGAAGCUCUAAUUUUAUUUGGGGAGAGC
RNAcentral lists this ribosomal RNA (436 nucleotides) under uncultured prokaryote. RNAcentral's name for it is "partial 16S ribosomal RNA". The record is from RNAcentral.